GAUGAACGCUGGCGGUCUGCUUAACACAUGCAAGUCGAACGGGCUCUUCGGAGCUAGUGGCGGACGGGUGAGUAACACGUGAGAAUCUGGCUCCCGGUCGGGGACAACAGAGGGAAACUUCUGCUAAUCCCGGAUGAGCCGAAAGGUAAAAGAUUUAUCGCCGGGAGAUGAGCUCGCGCCUGAUUAGCUAGUUGGUGAGGUAAAGGCUCACCAAGGCGACGAUCAGUAGCUGGUCUGAGAGGAUGAUCAGCCACACUGGGACUGAGACACGGCUCAGACUCCUACGGGAGGCAGCAGUGGGGAAUUUUCCGCAAUGGGCGCAAGCCUGACGGAGCAAGACCGCGUGGGGGAGGAAGGCUCUUGGGUUGUAAACCCCUUUUCUCAAGGAAGAACACAAUGACGGUACUUGAGGAAUAAGCCUCGGCUAACUCCGUGCCAGCAGCCGCGGUAAUACGGAGGAGGCAAGCGUUAUCCGGAAUGAUUGGGCGUAAAGCGUCCGUAGGUGGCAGUUCAAGUCUGCUGUCAAAGACAGUAGCUCAACUACUGAAAGGCAGUGGAAACUGAACAGCUAGAGUACGGUAGGGGCAGAGGGAAUUCCCGGUGUAGCGGUGAAAUGCGUAGAUAUCGGGAAGAACACCGGUGGCGAAAGCGCUCUGCUGGGCCGUAACUGACACUGAGGGACGAAAGCUAGGGGAGCGAAUGGGAUUAGAUACCCCAGUAGUCCUAGCCGUAAACGAUGGAGACUAGGUGUAGCCUGUAUCGACCCGGGCUGUGCCGAAGCUAACGCGUUAAGUUUCCCGCCUGGGGAGUACGCACGCAAGUGUGAAACUCAAAGGAAUUGACGGGGGCCCGCACAAGCGGUGGAGUAUGUGGUUUAAUUCGAUGCAACGCGAAGAACCUUACCAGGGCUUGACAUGUCCGGAAUCUUGGUGAAAGCCGAGAGUGCCUUCGGGAGCCGGAACMCAGGUGGUGCAUGGCUGUCGUCAGCUCGUGUCGUGAGAUGUUGGGUUAAGUCCCGCAACGAGCGCAACCCUCGUCCUUAGUUGCCAUCAUUCAGUUGGGCACUUUAGGGAGACUGCCGGUGACAAACCGGAGGAAGGUGGGGAUGACGUCAAGUCAUCAUGCCCCUUACGUCCUGGGCUACACACGUACUACAAUGGGGGGGACAAAGGGUAGCCAAGACGCGAGUCUGAGCCAAUCCCGUAAACCUCUCCUCAGUUCAGAUUGCAGGCUGCAACUCGCCUGCAUGAAGGAGGAAUCGCUAGUAAUCGCAGGUCAGCAUACUGCGGUGAAUCCGUUCCCGGGCCUUGUACACACCGCCCGUCACACCAUGGAAGUUAGCCACGCCCGAAGUCGUUACUCUAACCGUUCGCGGAGGAGGAUGCCGGAGGCAGGGCUGAUGACUGGGGUGAAGUCGUAACAAGGUAGCCGUACCGGAAGGUGUGGCUGGAUCACCUCCUUUUUAGGGAGACCUACUUCGAGAUAUCGCGCCUUAACAACUAUAGCCGUGUCUUGAGGUCAUCCUUAGGUCGGAUGGGGCGGUCAGAGAGCUUUCAAACUUUAGGGUUCGUGUUAUGGGCUAUUAGCUCAGGUGGUUAGAGCGCACCCCUGAUAAGGGUGAGGUCCCUGGUUCAAGUCCAGGAUGGCCCACAUCCACCCCAAACUGGGGGUAUAGCUCAGUUGGUAGAGCGCUGCCUUUGCACGGCAGAAGUCAGCGGUUCGAGUCCGCUUACCUCCACUCUCCUUUGUGAUGGUGCUAGUUGGGGUGAGAUGAGAUGAGGUUACCUCUGAUAGAUAAUUUAUCACUGUACAGCUCCUAAAUCUUUAGAUAUUACUCUGAGAUUGGAUAGCUGGACAUCUGUUCCAGUCAGAACCUUGAAAACUGCAUAGAGAAAAGCAUAAUGGUGUAGGAAAACGUCGUAAAGACAAUUCCAAUGUAGGUCAAGCUACAAAGGGCUAACGGUGGAU
RNAcentral lists this ribosomal RNA (1968 nucleotides) under uncultured Limnospira sp. Its description in RNAcentral is "bacterial SSU rRNA". The record is from RNAcentral. Lineage: Bacteria; Bacillati; Cyanobacteriota; Cyanophyceae; Oscillatoriales; Sirenicapillariaceae.